AAAAUUAUUCUUGUUUCCAUGAUUUAAAUCUUUCACCAUAAAACAUGGAUGUGUAUUCAUGAAAAGGAAUUUGUUAAAAAUAGAAGUGUUUGCAGUUGUCAUUCUACCUCCUAAGACAAUUAGUCUUGUAAUAGGGGUUAAACUCUUAUACCACUUGUUGGACAAGUGACUCAAAACACAAGAGGUGGUGGGAGUUUAUAAAAAACAAGAGGUGUGUG
This 218-nucleotide long non-coding RNA is filed under the name Lathyrus oleraceus (garden pea). RNAcentral describes it as "Pisum sativum (pea) long non-coding RNA (PSAT_LNC005226)". Lineage: Eukaryota; Viridiplantae; Streptophyta; Magnoliopsida; Fabales; Fabaceae. The record is from RNAcentral.